RNAcentral lists this ribosomal RNA (184 nucleotides) under uncultured bacterium. Its description in RNAcentral is "partial 16S ribosomal RNA". It matches the Rfam family "Bacterial small subunit ribosomal RNA", at positions 1317 to 1500 of the family's 1533-position model. The record is from RNAcentral.
UGCAUGAAGUCGGAAUUGCUAGUAAUCGCGGAUCAGAAUGCCGCGGUGAAUACGUUCCCGGGCCUUGUACACACCGCCCGUCACACCAUGAGAGCCGGUAACACCCGAAGUCAGGAGCCUAACCGCAAGGAGGGCGCUGCCGAAGGUGGGAUUGGUAAUUGGGGUGAAGUCGUAACAAGGUAAC